Molecule: ribosomal RNA, 425 nt
Filed under: uncultured bacterium
Lineage: Bacteria
Description: bacterial SSU rRNA
Rfam family: Archaeal small subunit ribosomal RNA
Source: RNAcentral
CCUACGGGGGGCAGCAGUCGGGAAAAUUUUGCAAUACACGAAAGUGUGACAGAGCAAGCCAAAGUGAUGUUCUAUAAUUGAACAUCUUUUACGGGAUGUAAAAAGUCCCGCGAAUAAGGACUGGGCAAGACUGGUGCCAGCCGCCGCGGUAAUCCCAGCAGUCCAAGUCGCAGCCACAUUUGUUGGGUCUAAAAUAUCCGUAGCUUGUCUUUCAAGUCUCUUGUGAAAUCGGGCCUCUUCAGGGUCCGGCAGGCAAGAGAUACUGAAAGACUUGAGACCGGGAGACGUCGUGAGUACUGUACGGGUAGCGGUUAAAUGUGUUGAUCCAUACAGGACUAUCAAUAGCGAAGGCACGCGACGAGAACGGAUCUGACAGUGAGGGAUGAAGGCUAGGGGCGCAAAGUGGAUUAGAUACCCCGGUAGUC